CCUACGGGAGGCAGCAGUGAGGAAUAUUGGUCAAUGGGCGCUAGCCUGAACCAGCCAAGUAGCGUGAAGGAUGACUGCCCUAUGGGUUGUAAACUUCUUUUAUAUGGGAAUAAAGUGCAGUAUGUAUACUGCUUUGCAUGUACAUUAUGAGUAAGGAUCGGCUAACUCGGUGCCAGAAGCCGCGGUAAUACAGCGGAGCCGAGCGUUAUCCGGAUUUAUUUGGUUUAAAGGGAGCGUAGGCGGGUUGUUAAGUCAGUGGUGAAAGUUUGCGGCUCAACCGUGUAAUUGCAGUUGAUACUGGCAGCCUUGAGUACAGUAGAGGUAGGCGGAAUUCGUGGUGUAGCGGUGAAAUGCUUAGAUAUCACGAAGAACUCCGAUUGCGAAGGCAGGCUGCUGGACUGCAACUGACGCUGAUGCUCGAAAGUGUGGGUAUCAAACAGGAUUAGAUACCCUGGUAGUC
RNAcentral lists this ribosomal RNA (460 nucleotides) under uncultured bacterium. RNAcentral describes it as "partial 16S ribosomal RNA". It matches the Rfam family "Bacterial small subunit ribosomal RNA", at positions 338 to 795 of the family's 1533-position model. The record is from RNAcentral.